CUUAGAAUGGCAACAUCUAAAGGCUAAAUCAGCAAACAUGUUGAAGACAAUAGAGGAUCUUGAAGUUUCAAGAAGGUAUUGGUCUUUUUAUAAGAUUCAACCCCCCACCAAAAUAUAUAUUGGGGUUAAAAUAUAAGGCCUUGUUUCUACAUUUGGAGCGUCCUAUGUUACUAGAAACAAAGGACGUCGAGCCAACAUCCCUGUUGCUGCAGUCAGCUUCUUCCUAGGAGGACCUAGCAAUGCAGGUGCGGUGGAUAUCACAAUGUUGAUCAUAGGACGCAUUCUUCUUGGUAAAGGCAUCUAAAUGUGUUUGGUAUUUUAGGUAUCCAAAAUUUAUUGAUGCACUUAGAGAUUUGGAUGAUCCUCUUACAAUGGUGCACCUGUUUGCAAUGUUAACUUUGAAUCUUUGAAUCUUUGGAUUUAGGAUUUGUUUGAAUUAUCCUUCUAAUUAGUUACUUUUCUCAUUUCCUACUUGAUAGAAAUGUGUUUGACUCUAGAUAUUUUCAUCAUUUCAGGCAAGAAUGAUUGAUUUUUAUUACAGAUCGAUUAUGGUUUUA
Long non-coding RNA from Gossypium raimondii (Peruvian cotton), 557 nucleotides. RefSeq lists it as uncharacterized. Lineage: Eukaryota; Viridiplantae; Streptophyta; Magnoliopsida; Malvales; Malvaceae. The transcript has 2 exons. The record is from RefSeq and is a predicted model, not a curated record.